GAAAAAAUAAAAGAAACUAAAAAAGAAUUGAAAAGAUAACUACCCAACCACUUCCCCACCGCCACCCCCUCCUCCACCACAUCUUCUUUCCCUUCCCCUCCCAAACUUCCACCACUCCAACACAUCUCCCUGCUCCUUCCAACCUGCCACCACCCUGUCCCCUCUCUAACAGCCAUUACCCACAACCACUCAUUUGCACCUACCCAACAACCUUAAUUUAAAAAUUGUAGUGGUUGUGCUUAGACUACACCGGAACUAAAGUCGGAGGCUAGUGGGGAAGGAAGGGUGGUAGUAGAGUGGGGGAAGGAAGGUAACUAACAGACAUGGGAGGAGGGUAAUUAGCAGGUCAAACUUAUGGUGCAGGCUGAUGAGUAAAUGCAGGAAGCACUUUUUUGAAGGAUUAAAUUUGAGCUGGGGAUUCUUUGGCCGCACCCUCUUUAUUCUUAUGGGUUUUCGUCGUACUUUUCUUUUCAGACCCUGUUUAUAAUCCCUAUAAACAGGUACACUGGGUAAUGAUGAUUAUGAUAAUGAUAAGAGGAAAACGUCAAUGUGUGGCUUCUCGCUUGGCGAAGGUAGUUGCUCGACUCGAGUUGUAACGCAUUUAGGUGUAAAGUUAUGGAGAAACACCAUCGGUUUCUCAUAUAGAAUUAAAACAAUAUCAUAGUUUCUCGUUCAGAUUAACAGAGAAUCUUGCAUUGAAGAAAAUGAGACAAAUAUUAGUGGACCUAAAGUUGAACAGCAUGGAAACACGACCAUUGACCAAGCGAGCGAAGCAUAAUGCUUUUAAGUUAUACCUUCUUUGCAUUAGAUGAUUUAUUUCAUAUCAAUAAUUAAAGAAAUUGUGCAUUAGAAACAAUUGUCUAGAACAAUCCUCUUAUUAUCUAUUUACUGUAAAUAAUUACUUCUAUUGAUUAUUUUUAAAUAAUCUAACCUUUGUAUAUUA
Molecule: long non-coding RNA, 943 nt
Organism: Amaranthus tricolor (Joseph's coat)
Lineage: Eukaryota; Viridiplantae; Streptophyta; Magnoliopsida; Caryophyllales; Amaranthaceae
Exons: 2
Source: RefSeq, a predicted model, not a curated record